UACGAAGGGUGCGAGCGUUGUCCGGAAUUAUUGGGCGUAAAGGGCUCGUAGGCGGUUUGUCGCGUCGGGAGUGAAAUCCACUGGCUUAACUGGUGGCUUGCUUUCGAUACGGGCAGACUGGAGGUAUGCAGGGGAGAACGGAAUUCCUGGUGUAGCGGUGAAAUGCGCAGAUAUCAGGAGGAACACCGGUGGCGAAGGCGGUUCUCUGGGCAUGUCCUGACGCUGAGGAGCGAAAGUGUGGGGAGCGAACAGG
This 253-nucleotide ribosomal RNA is filed under the name uncultured bacterium. Its description in RNAcentral is "partial 16S ribosomal RNA". It matches the Rfam family "Bacterial small subunit ribosomal RNA", at positions 524 to 776 of the family's 1533-position model. The record is from RNAcentral.